This 1612-nucleotide ribosomal RNA is filed under the name Platemys platycephala. RNAcentral's name for it is "16S ribosomal RNA". It matches the Rfam family "Bacterial large subunit ribosomal RNA", at positions 425 to 2925 of the family's 2925-position model. The record is from RNAcentral. Lineage: Eukaryota; Metazoa; Chordata; Testudines; Chelidae.
CUACAAAUCUAGCCCAAAAACCACAACCCCCCCCCCCAAAAAACCACUUAAUCCACAAAAAAUUAAAGCAUUCGACCCGUCCUAGUAUAGGAGAUAGAAAAGAUUAUACGGAGCUAUAAAGAACAGUACCGCAAGGGAAAGUUAAAAAACAUGAAACAUCUACCAUAGUAAAAAAGCAAAGAUAAAACCUUGUACCUUUUGCAUAAUGAUUUAACUAGCACACACUCAAGCAAAGAGAACUAAAGUAUGAAACCCCGAAACCAAGUGAGCUACUUACGGGCAACCAUUAUUAAAAUACUAAAGACAACCAACCAUCUCUGUGGCAAAAGAGUGGUGAGACCCGUAAAUAGAGGUGAAAAGCCUACCGAACCUGGUGAUAGCUGGUUGCUCAGAAAAAGAAUAAAAGUUCUACCUUAAAUUACCCUACAAAGCAAUACAAAGUCUUACCCAAGUGAAAUUUAAGAGCUAUUCAGUCGGGGUACAGCCCUACUGAAAAAGGACACAACCUUGAAAGGUGGUAAAAUACAUCAACCAAUCACCGUAGGCCUUAAAGCAGCCACCAUAAAAAAAAGCGUUAAAGCUAAACAAAACAAAUAUACACAACAAAAAUUUCACCCCAAUUACACUGAGCCAUUCUACCCACAUAGAAGAAUUAAUGUUAAAAUGAGUAACAAGAAAACCAAAUUCCUCUAAAGCACCAGCUUAAAUCAGCUCAGACAUACUACUGAUUAUUAACAGCCACAUAUAAAACAAAUAAAAAUAAACAAACCAUAUAGACUAAACUGUUAACCCAACACAGGACUGCACACUAGAAAGAUUAAAACCCGUAAAAGGAACUAGGCAAACAAAAAGCCCGACUGUUUACCAAAAACAUAGCCCUUAGCAUAAACAAGUAUUAAGGGUAAUGCCUGCCCAGUGACACAGUUCAACGGCCGCGGUAUUCUGACCGUGCGAAGGUAGCGUAAUCACUUGUCUUUUAAAUAAAGACUGGAAUGAAUGGCUAAACGAGGCUUUACCUGUCUCUUACGGGUAAUCAGUGAAAUUGAUCUCCUCGUGCAAAAGCGAGAAUAAUAACAUAAGACGAGAAGACCCUGUGGAACUUUAAAUAAUGACUAAACAAUAAGAAACCCACCAACCAACACGGCCCACCAACCACAAUCUUUCAUUAGCCUUAUUUUCGGUUGGGGUGACCUCGGAGAAAAACCAAACCUCCGAAGAUUUACACCAAGAAAAACAAAUCAAAGUGCCCACGGCUAAACGAUCCAAUACAUUUGAUUAAUGAACCAAGCUACCCCAGGGAUAACAGCGCAAUCCCCUCUUAGAGUCCCUAUCAACGAUGGGGGUUUACGACCUCGAUGUUGGAUCAGGACAUCCUAAUGGUGCAGCCGCUAUUAAGGGUUCGUUUGUUCAACGAUUAACAGUCCUACGUGAUCUGAGUUCAGACCGGAGUAAUCCAGGUCGGUUUCUAUCUAUGAUUGUAAAUUUUUUAGUACGAAAGGAUCAAAAAAAUGCAGCCUAUGUAUAAAAACACGCUGUAUCCCUAAUUAGUGAAUACCAACUAAACUAUUAUACAAAACAACCAAACCCAAUUUUAACCCGAAACCAAGGGUCU